AAAAUCCGUUGAUUUAAAAAAUCGUGAGG
Molecule: transfer RNA, 29 nt
Filed under: Scaevola plumieri
Lineage: Eukaryota; Viridiplantae; Streptophyta; Magnoliopsida; Asterales; Goodeniaceae
Description: partial tRNA-Leu
Source: RNAcentral